UACGAAGGGGGCUAGCGUUGCUCGGAAUCACUGGGCGUAAAGGGUGCGUAGGCGGGUCUUUAAGUCAGGGGUGAAAUCCUGGAGCUCAACCCCGGAACUGCAUUCGAUACUGCUUUGCUUGAGUACUGGAGAGGAGACUGGAAUUUACGGUGUAGCAGUGAAAUGCGUAGAUAUCGUAAGGAAGACCAGUGGCGAAGGCGAGUCUCUGGACAGUUACUGACGCUGAGGCACGAAGGCCAGGGGAGCAAACGGG
This 253-nucleotide ribosomal RNA is filed under the name uncultured bacterium. RNAcentral describes it as "partial 16S ribosomal RNA". It matches the Rfam family "Bacterial small subunit ribosomal RNA", at positions 524 to 776 of the family's 1533-position model. The record is from RNAcentral.